RNAcentral lists this unclassified non-coding RNA (294 nucleotides) under uncultured Mycenaceae. RNAcentral's name for it is "sequence contains ITS2". The stretch from base 1 to 52 matches the Rfam family "5.8S ribosomal RNA", at positions 103 to 154 of the family's 154-position model. Lineage: Eukaryota; Fungi; Basidiomycota; Agaricomycetes; Agaricales; Mycenaceae. The record is from RNAcentral.
AACGCACCUUGCACUCCUUGGUAUUCCGAGGAGUAUGCCUGUUUGAGUGUCAUUAAAUUCUCAAAUCUCAAUCAGUUUUCUGAUUUGAGACUUUGGAUGUGGGGGUUGCAGGCUUCUCAGAAGUCUGCUCUCCUUAAAUGUAUUAGUGGUUACUGAUUGACCAUAUCCUGGUGUGAUAAUAUCUACUCCAAGGGUUGGUUAGUAUUUAAAAGUAGCUGCUUCAAACAGUCCAUUAACUUGGACAAUUUUGAACCAUUUGACCUCAAAUCAGGUAGGAUUACCCGCUGAACUUAA